RNAcentral lists this ribosomal RNA (403 nucleotides) under uncultured bacterium. Its description in RNAcentral is "bacterial SSU rRNA". It matches the Rfam family "Bacterial small subunit ribosomal RNA", at positions 355 to 774 of the family's 1533-position model. The record is from RNAcentral.
UGGGGAAUAUUGCACAAUGGGGGAAACCCUGAUGCAGCGACGCCGCGUGUAGGAAGACGGUCCUCUGGAUUGUAAACUACUGUCUUCGGGGACGAUAAUGACGGUACCCGAGGAGGAAGCUCCGGCUAACUACGUGCCAGCAGCCGCGGUAAUACGGGGGGUGCAAGCGUUGUCCGGAAUCAUUGGGCGUAAAGCGUUCGUAGGCGGUAUAUCAAGUCUGGUGUUAAAGCCCGGGGCUCAACUCCGGUUCGGCACUGGAUACUGGUAAACUAGAAUGCGGUAGAGGUAAGGGGAAUUCCUGGUGUAGCGGUGAAAUGCGUAGAUAUCAGGAGGAACAUCGGUGGCGAAAGCGCCUUACUGGGCCGUAAUUGACGCUGAGGAACGAAAGCCGGGGGAGCAAAUG